CAGAACGUGGCUAAAACAGGAAAGCACCUCCCUUACACCGAGAAGAUAUCCGUGCAAGUCGGAUCGUUCUGA
Molecule: transfer RNA, 72 nt
Filed under: Hiodon alosoides (goldeye)
Lineage: Eukaryota; Metazoa; Chordata; Actinopteri; Hiodontiformes; Hiodontidae
Description: tRNA-Val
Rfam family: tRNA
About the family: Transfer RNA (tRNA) molecules are approximately 80 nucleotides in length. Their secondary structure includes four short double-helical elements and three loops (D, anti-codon, and T loops).
Source: RNAcentral